Molecule: ribosomal RNA, 497 nt
Filed under: uncultured bacterium
Lineage: Bacteria
Description: partial 16S ribosomal RNA
Rfam family: Bacterial small subunit ribosomal RNA
Source: RNAcentral
GAUGAACGCUGGCGGCGUGCCUAAUACAUGCAAGUCGAGCGAACAAACGAGGAGCUUGCUCCUUUGACGUUAGCGGCGGACGGGUGAGUAACACGUGGAUAACCUACCUAUAAGACUGGGAUAACUUCGGGAAACCGGAGCUAAUACCGGAUAACAUGUUGAACCGCAUGGUUCAACAGUGAAAGGCGGUCUUGCUGUCACUUAUAGAUGGAUCCGCGCCGCAUUAGCUAGUUGGUAAGGUAACGGCUUACCAAGGCAACGAUGCGUAGCCGACCUGAGAGGGUGAUCGGCCACACUGGAACUGAGACACGGUCCAGACUCCUACGGGAGGCAGCAGUAGGGAAUCUUCCGCAAUGGGCGAAAGCCUGACGGAGCAACGCCGCGUGAGUGAAGAAGGUCUUCGGAUCGUAAAACUCUGUUAUUAGGGAAGAACAAAUGUGUAAGUAACUAUGCACGUCUUGACGGUACCUAAUCAGAAAGCCACGGCUAACUACGUG